GCUCGAGCCGCGGACAGAAAGAGAUGGUUGAUCUAUGGUGGAAAAGCUAACGCGACAGUAGCAGCGUUUUGUGGAGAAAUUCGGAGAUUUGAUAUUGAGAGAUUGAAGGCUGUGAACCCUCGUGAGCUGGAAUUCCCCUUGCUGCGCGUGGUGCUUAGCAUGGUCGGGGUUUUUUUUUGGAUCGGAUUUGGAAAUCUUGAGAAGAACCAAGGAUCAACUUCCAGCACUUGAUGCUGCAGACCCUCCUCUGGUCACCAUGACGAUCCUCCACAUGAAGGUUAAACCAUCCAGCUGCUGAUGGACAGAAUCUGAUGUUCUCUGCUUCGGUUUGACCUCCAUGAAAGCUACAGAAGAGUCCAGAUGAGAAAAACAUCAUUACCUGGUCUCCUGUUCAACCAUCCAGCUCUGCCCUGGGCGACGUAAAGCUUCCUACUGGUCCACUUAAACGGCUCUAACCUGCCAUCAGGUGAGUGUGUGGGCAGCAGGUAGAGGAGAUGGCUGGCAGACAGAGCAGCUCUUAUGUUCAGUGAGUGAAUCUAAACUGACUGCUGCAUGGAAAUCUGCAAUAAUAAACCAACAAGUUGAGCUGGCAGUCGCCCCUGAACAUGAAUACAGCAACCUUUACAUGAACAGGUAGCGUUGCUAUUGACAGGUAAAUCACUUUCACAACAGAGAUCAGUGGAGCAGUCAACAAGGUUUCACAGCUGGAUUUGUGCAUUAAUGUUGGUUUUACCAUAAAGACGUCCUCAAACAAGGUGGAUUCAGUUCAUUUUAAGCCAUAGAUCUUCUAUUUAAUGCAGGUGGAACCAAUCUGGCAUCAUUAAUUAGGGAAAAUACAGCUGUUUUAACACAAGGUAGAAUGGAAAUGUGUCACAUGAUGCUAAGAAAUGCAUUGAAUUUAUGUAAAGUCUUAAUGCAAAAUUUUGGAGCAUAUAAGUAGCACAGUUUGUACAAAGUGAGACAAAAAC
Molecule: long non-coding RNA, 968 nt
Organism: Amphiprion ocellaris (clown anemonefish)
Lineage: Eukaryota; Metazoa; Chordata; Actinopteri; Pomacentridae
Source: Ensembl